Molecule: ribosomal RNA, 345 nt
Filed under: Anaplasma phagocytophilum
Lineage: Bacteria; Pseudomonadati; Pseudomonadota; Alphaproteobacteria; Rickettsiales; Anaplasmataceae
Description: bacterial SSU rRNA
Rfam family: Bacterial small subunit ribosomal RNA
Source: RNAcentral
GACGGGUGAGUAAUGCAUAGGAAUCUACCUAGUAGUAUGGGAUAGCCACUAGAAAUGGUGGGUAAUACUGUAUAAUCCCUGCGGGGGAAAGAUUUAUCGCUAUUAGAUGAGCCUAUGUUAGAUUAGCUAGUUGGUAGGGUAAAGGCCUACCAAGGCAGUGAUCUAUAGCUGGUCUGAGAGGAUGAUCAGCCACACUGGAACUGAGAUACGGUCCAGACUCCUACGGGAGGCAGCAGUGGGGAAUAUUGGACAAUGGGCGCAAGCCUGAUCCAGCUAUGCCGCGUGAGUGAGGAAGGCCUUAGGGUUGUAAAACUCUUUCAGUAGGGAAGAUAAUGACGGUACCUA